This is a non-coding RNA of Camellia sinensis, 1919 nucleotides long. Lineage: Eukaryota; Viridiplantae; Streptophyta; Magnoliopsida; Ericales; Theaceae. The record is from RefSeq and is a predicted model, not a curated record.
GUAUGUGAUGGAUGAACUAGGUUCAGCUUUGCGGCAUAGUGAUGAGCCAAAUUUCAGAGUGUCACCUUUUCUCUACAUGCCAGAUGGUAAACUGGCAUCAGCUGUAAGCUUUUCAAUUCUAUGGCCGACCCAGAAUGUUCAAAAAGGUGAUGAGUGUACUCGUGAUUUUCUAUGUGGUAUUGGAGAGGAGAAGCAACGUUCUGCCAGACUUACUGCUUGGUUCCAUACACCACAAAAUUAUUUUAUUGAACAAUAUGAGAAAUGCAGGCAAAAAUUGCAAUCAACAAGUUUCGUCUCCCCGCCCAUGAAGCCAUGCACAACCAAUAGUUUGCUGUGUAAUGAUGGAAGCCCUUUACGUGUCUACACAGAUAUACCUCAUGUGGAAGAACUUUUGACACGCCCAGAAUUUGAAAUCAGUACUGAUCCAAAGGAUGCAGAUAUAAUAUGGACAGGUAUGCAGGUGGAUGAGGAAAUGAAGGUGGCUGCUGGACUGACAGAUCAACAAUACAUAAAUCAAUUUCCUUUUGAGGCUUGUCUUGUAAUGAAACAUCAUCUAGCAGAAACUGUUCAGAAGGCAUAUGGAUAUCCAGAUUGGUUGCAGUCUACUUACAAUCUUGAAACACAGCUAACUCAUCUGAUUGGUGACUAUUAUGUACGCAAAAGGGAUGGACUUGACAAUCUAUGGAUCUUAAAACCGUGGAACAUGGCACGAACUAUUGAUACAACUAUAACUGGUAAUUUAUCAGCCAUUAUUCGACUCAUGGAGACUGGUCCAAAAGUAUGUCAGAAGUAUAUAGAAUACCCUGCAUUGUUCAGAGGGAAGAAAUUUGAUCUCCGUUACAUCAUUCUGGUUCGCAGUAUCGACCCCUUGGAAAUAUUCCUUUCUGAUGUUUUUUGGGUUAGAUUAGCAAACAAUCCAUAUUCUUUAGACAAGCGCAGCUUUUCUGAAUAUGAGACUCAUUUCACUGUUAUGAACUACAGGGGGAAGUUGAAUCACAUGAACACACCAGAAUUUGUUAGGGAGUUUGAAAAGGAACACCAAGUUAAAUGGUGGGAUAUCCAUGUGAGAGUCAAAAGGAUGAUCCGGUCAGUUUUUGAGUCAGCUGCAGUAGUGCACCCAGAAAUGCAGAGUUCACAAUCUCGGGCCAUAUAUGGCGUCGAUGUUAUGCUUGAUUGUCAUUUCCAGCCAAAGUUAUUAGAGGUGACCUACUGCCCUGACUGUACUAGAGCAUGCAAGUAUGAUAUGGAGGCUAUAUUUAAAGGAGGUGAAAUCAUGAAAGCUCGCGACUUCUAUAAUCAUGUGUUUGGUUGUCUCUUUCUAAAUGAAACAACCCAUGCUGACCCAUUGUAAUUGAAAGCUAAAAAGAAAUUAUUUUGCAAGGAUUUGUAAUGUGGAUGUUUUGGAAGAUGAUGAAGAUGGUAGCCAGUUUGUUUAGCUGGUGAAGUGUCUUGGUAUAUGUACAAUACCAAAGCGCCUUCACUUGAGUUUGGGAGUUAUAAUGGCUUAUAUUGCUUGACCCAAUGAGGUGCAUGAUCACGUUUCUGGUAUGCAAGUAACUAAAUAACACUGGGUACAAACAAGGAGACUGAAGAACAUUUCAGGCUUUUCCGAGCCAGACAACUAACACUAUAUGCAUAGAAUUGAAUUAGGAUCUGCCUUUUAAACCGAGUAAUCAAUCAUGCGAACAUCAUCAAUCUGUUUUAUUAGUAAUAAUAUAGUAGGACACUUUGCAAAUUACGUUGACGAAGUGCUACUUUAGGACCAAUUGAUUGAUUGAUUUAUUUGGUUUGUGUAUCGGACUGAGGCAAUGUAUUCCUUUUUUUUGGAGAACUCAAUAUUCCUUUGUAAUUCCGAAUUUGACAAUACUCUCGCUAAUGUCAGAAUCAUGAAUUAAUACUUUGUUUGUUUUGGUAGAAAA